This 578-nucleotide ribosomal RNA is filed under the name Dirkmeia churashimaensis. RNAcentral's name for it is "eukaryotic LSU rRNA". It matches the Rfam family "Eukaryotic large subunit ribosomal RNA", at positions 51 to 712 of the family's 3401-position model. Lineage: Eukaryota; Fungi; Basidiomycota; Ustilaginomycetes; Ustilaginales; Ustilaginaceae. The record is from RNAcentral.
CGGAGGAAAAGAAACUAACAAGGAUUCCCCUAGUAACGGCGAGUGAAGAGGGAAGAGCCCAAGAUUGAAAGCUGGCGUCUUCGGCGUCCGCAUUGUAAUCUCAAGAAGUGUUUUCCGCUUCGGACCAUGCCUAAGUCCCUUGGAAAAGGGCAUCAUAGAGGGUGAUAAUCCCGUACAUGGCAUGGAGCGCCCGAAGCUUUGUGAUACGCUUUCUAAGAGUCGAGUUGUUUGGGAAUGCAGCUCAAAAUGGGUGGUAAAUGCCAUCUAAGGCUAAAUAUUGGGGAGAGACCGAUAGCGAACAAGUACAGUGAUGGAAAGAUGAAAAGAACUUUGAAAAGAGAGUUAAACAGUACGUGAAAUUGCCAAAAGGGAAGGGUAGGAGGUCAGAGAUGCGGCCUGGGAUUCAGCCUUGCUUUUGCUUGGUGUUUUUCCCAGAUUGCAGGCCAACGUCGGUUUUGGGCACUGGAGAAGGGUAGGAGGAACGUGGCACCUCUCGGGGUGUGUUAUAGCCUCCUACUGGAUACAGCGACCGAGACCGAGGACAGCAGCGUACUCGCAAGAGCGGGCCUUCGGGCACC